Molecule: ribosomal RNA, 433 nt
Filed under: uncultured bacterium
Lineage: Bacteria
Description: partial 16S ribosomal RNA
Rfam family: Bacterial small subunit ribosomal RNA
Source: RNAcentral
AACGAACGCUGGCGGCAUGCCUAACACAUGCAAGUCGAACGAGACCUUCGGGUCUAGUGGCGCACGGGUGCGUAACGCGUGGGAACCUGCCCUUAGGUUCGGAAUAACUCCCCGAAAGGGGUGCUAAUACCGGAUAAUGUCUUCGGACCAAAGAUUUAUCGCCUUUGGAUGGGCCCGCGUUGGAUUAGCUAGUUGGUAGGGUGAAAGCCUACCAAGGCGACGAUCCAUAGCUGGUCUGAGAGGAUGAUCAGCCACACUGGGACUGAGACACGGCCCAGACUCCUACGGGAGGCAGCAGUGGGGAAUAUUGGACAAUGGGCGAAAGCCUGAUCCAGCAAUGCCGCGUGAGUGAUGAAGGCCUUAGGGUUGUAAAGCUCUUUUAACCGGGAUGAUAAUGACAGUACCGGGAGAAUAAGCUCCGGCUAACUCCGUG